This 292-nucleotide long non-coding RNA is filed under the name Homo sapiens (human). Its description in RNAcentral is "non-protein coding lnc-DNAJB6-4:1". Lineage: Eukaryota; Metazoa; Chordata; Mammalia; Primates; Hominidae. The record is from RNAcentral.
GGAGAUAAGAGAGUGAUCUUGCUCACAGUGUCUGUUAACCUGUGAAGUUAAUUGAAUGAAAAUGAUCAACUAAGCUUGUAUUAAUAUUGCUAAUGGAACUUUCUUCUUGGCCAUGUUUGGAGAAAGAUGUCAAGCUAGACUUUAGGAAGGGCCCAUUAAUGCUUGCACUUAACCUGAUGGGCUAAUUAAGGAAUGCUUAUUCAUCCUCCAAGUCCACGAGAGUCUCUCUCCAGCCCGUUCUGCCUGGUGUUAACGGUAGCAUAUUUGUUUUCCUUUCAAUAUUUGAUUAAAC